Molecule: long non-coding RNA, 356 nt
Filed under: Gallus gallus (chicken)
Lineage: Eukaryota; Metazoa; Chordata; Aves; Galliformes; Phasianidae
Description: long non-coding RNA NONGGAT006704
Source: RNAcentral
AAAAAGAGGGCUGGGGAAUGGUGUGGGGCAGCCUGGGGGGACAUGGAUGUCACCCCACUCUGCUCUGAUGUCUAGGGGGAGAGCUGUGGAGGUGGCUCAGUGCCUACACCUGUGGGCUGGUGUGCAUCUCCUCCAUCCUGGCUGGCACUGCUGGGAUCCUCUGGAUGAGAGAAGAAGGCCCAUCUAUUGCUGUCAUAGUGCCAGAGAUUUUCCUGUUGUAUGUGAUUGUGAUCACCUUUCUAGUGGCCUUUACUGUGACGUUCCAGCCUACGAAGCUCAUCCAGCUCAAAAGCACAGCAGGUGAGCUGUUCAAGAGAGGCAAGAACGGAGAUAAAACCAAAUGAUAAGGGGGUUUA